This 253-nucleotide ribosomal RNA is filed under the name uncultured Methanomicrobiales archaeon. RNAcentral describes it as "partial 16S ribosomal RNA". It matches the Rfam family "Archaeal small subunit ribosomal RNA", at positions 1085 to 1338 of the family's 1478-position model. The record is from RNAcentral. Lineage: Archaea; Methanobacteriati; Methanobacteriota; Methanomicrobia; Methanomicrobiales.
GAUGGGGGACACUGUUGGGACCGCCUCUGCUAAAGAGAGGAAGGAAUGGGCAACGGUAGGUCAGCAUGCCCCGAAUUAUCUGGGCUACACGCGGGCUACAAUGGGUGGGACAAUGGGUAUCGACACCGAAAGGUGAAGGCAAUCUCCUAAACCCAUCCGUAGUUCGGAUUGUGGGCUGCAACUCGCCCACAUGAAGCUGGAAUCUGUAGUAAUCGUGUCUCAAAAUGGCACGGUGAAUAUGUCCCUGCUCCUU